CGGACGGGUGAGUAAUGUAUGGGGAUCUGCCUGAUGGCGGGGGAUAACUACUGGAAACGGUAGCUAAUACCGCAUAAUGUCUACGGACCAAAGCGGGGGACCUCCGGGCCUCGCGCCAUCAGAUGAACCCAUAUGGGAUUAGCUUGUAGGUAAGGUAACGGCUUACCUAGGCGACGAUCCCUAGCUGGUCUGAGAGGAUGAUCAGCCACACUGGGACUGAGACACGGUCCAG
RNAcentral lists this ribosomal RNA (232 nucleotides) under uncultured bacterium. RNAcentral's name for it is "partial 16S ribosomal RNA". It matches the Rfam family "Bacterial small subunit ribosomal RNA", at positions 99 to 334 of the family's 1533-position model. The record is from RNAcentral.